This is an RNA transcript of Solea solea (common sole), 3931 nucleotides long. It is a transcript of the gene named KH domain containing, RNA binding, signal transduction associated 3, with no coding region annotated. The transcript has 11 exons. NCBI's taxonomy places the organism in Eukaryota, Metazoa, Chordata, Actinopteri, Pleuronectiformes, Soleidae. The record is from RefSeq and is a predicted model, not a curated record.
AGAGCGAGGAUAGAAGAGACGCAGCUUGAGGGGAGAGAAGCUUCCACCGAGAGAGAGAGAGCCGAGGAAUCCACGCUGCGCUACGUGACUCUGCGGGUUCAAGCACGCGCUCAUGGGAUAAAAACCUCCCGCUCACAUUUGAGCGCUUCCUGUGUGUGUGUGGCGCGCGCGCCGACCGUGUGCCUUCGCAUGUGUUUUCUGCGAGGACUAAGAAAUGAUUUUGCAGCGCGAGCGCGAACGAAACCUCCCCACGCCUCUGUGAUCCUCAUCCACGCGCGGCGGUGAUCUGACGUGGAUCCGUUUGGACGUUGACAAACUUUUGCGCGAGCGCGUGUGAGUGUUUUUUUUUUUUUUUUUGAAUUGUUGUUGUUUACUUGGAGCCUGAGCAUCCAGGACGACAUGGAGGGCGAGAAGUACUUGCAGGAGCUCGUGGCAGAGAAGGACACGCUCGAUGCGCAUUUUCAGCACUCGCAGAGACUCCUGGACCAAGAGAUCGAAAAAGUCCAGAAAGACGACGACAAAGAGGAGGAGAAGUUCAUCGACGUCGUCAUCAACAAGAACAUGAAACUGGGCCAGAAAGUUUUAAUACCAGUCAAGCAGUUUCCUAAAUUUAACUUUGUCGGCAAACUCCUCGGGCCGCGUGGGAACUCGUUAAAGAGACUACAGGAGGACACUCUCACCAAGAUGUCAAUUCUCGGAAAAGGAUCCAUGCGAGACAAAGAAAAGGAAGAAGAGCUACGGCAGAGCGGCGAGGCCAAAUAUCACCACCUGAACGAGGACCUGCACGUCCUCAUUGAAGUGUUCGCCCCCCCGGCUGAGGCCUACGCCAGGAUGGGUCACGCUCUGGAGGAGAUCAAGAAGUUCCUCAUACCAGAUUACAAUGAUGAGAUCAGACAGGCCCAGCUGCAGGAGCUCACGUACCUGAACGGAGGCUCGGAGGACGCCAAGGUGCCAUCAGUGAGGGGCAAGUCAGUCACCCGUACAAGAGGGACACCUGUUCCUGGGCCUCCCAGGAGUCGAGGAGGAGUUCCUUCCCUGCACGCAGCAGUGCCCCGAGGAGCAGCACCCAGAGGAGCCCCACUCAGCCGGCCUCCGGCCUCCAGAGGGAGGGGGGUGCAGAGAGCCAGAGGUGCCCCACCAGCUGCAGGGUACCGGCCAGCUCCUCCCCUUGUCCAGGACACAUAUGGAGAAUAUGAAUACGACGACGGCUACGGAACAGCGUACGACGACCAAGGAUACGAGUCGUAUGACAACAACAACAACAACAACAGCUACAGUAAUCAAGGACAAAACUCAGACGACUACUAUGAAUACGGACACAGUGGAGAAUCAUACGACGCAUAUGGUCAGGAGGAGUGGGCAAACAGUCGCGGCAAAGCACCGUCGGCACGGACGACCAAGGCGGCGUACAGGGAUCCGCCGUACUCCAGAUAUUGAACUGUUUAUACAACCUGCACAACCUGAGUCCCCCCCCCCCUCGUGGCGGUUUCAACCCAAGUCGAUAUCACAGCUAAACUGGGCCAUGUGACCGAGGACCGCACUGGCGUAGAAGGCUCGAUGAACGACACCCCCCCCCUAAGAUCUCCCUCCAAACAUUCAAGCGCGAACAACGUCAAAGUGAAUCCACAAAAAAAAAGGCCCAUCAUCCAUUUUCACAUGAGACUUUGAGGUUCUGCCUGUUUCAGACUGAAGUGAACCCUGCUGCGUUUGAGCGAUACAUAUAUCACAAUAUACAUCUUCAAUCUUUUCUCCUGAAGAAAUGGCCGGAAAGAGGAAAAGCACACGAGGCAAAUGGAGUUCCUCGUCCUCUGGGAGGGUCUGUCGGAGAACAUUUAUUUGAAAUGCCUCUAUAUACAUUUUCCACACACACACACACAGGAGAGUGUGUGUCUUUCUUCAGACUACCUCUUAUAUUAGACAUUAACUGUAGCCUGUAAUGGAAGAGGAGUGAAUAAAUGAUGAAAUAUGGUAAAGGUAGUGACACAUUAACCGUUAUGGAAUCCACUUCAGUUCCUGAAUGUGCCUUAUUGUUGCAUUGUAAUGACAGGUUUGAAUGUUUCGGAGUUCAAACACAAGCUGUUUAUUCUUCUUUCCUUUGAUGCUGCCGGAGAUCACCGCGCGGCCACCGACACAGAAGCUUAUUCCAGAUGUAUCGCUUAAUCAGAAACGACUUCAGUGGAUAUUACAAUUCCAAAAUAGCUUUCCCUAUCGGAUAGAGAGCUUCCCGUGUCGGAUAGGCCGAGCCGCGUAUCCCCCACCGCCACAUGUCCUUAGUGGCAGACAAUGGUUUUCCAUUAGAGGGGAGUGAUUCUCUCUGGAGCCUCAGGCCAAGCCUCAGACAAUAACAUGGCAGCCCCGGAGCUCGCCGAGUUGACUCUCAUCGCCCUCGGGGGCUGAUUCUCCCUCUGAAGUGGCUUAUAACGACAGGCUUAUCUGAGCCACGCUUGUCCGACUUAAUAAAGCAAGAGCGGCUUAUUUGAUUAAGCAUGCAUACAAAGGGAGCAUGUAGUAGUUGUCUGUCACCACGAGACAACUCCAUUUCAACACUCGACUUCAGAGAGAGCGCGAGGGACUUUACGUUUAACCAGGAACAAAAUAAUAAGAAAUAACGUUACAUUCAGUUCAAAGUCGGGCUGUCAAUCUUCCUCUAUAAUCAAAUUCCAGUUCCAUUCCUUAUUAUUUUUAAUAUUUGAAUUAUAUUCAAGUUUUUAAUUAAAAUCUGAAUACAUUUAACAAGCAGGGACACUGGCGGCCGCAGGUGCCUCGCGACGGCGUUAAUAGAAUUAGCCGCGUUGUCUGUGGUGAUGUCGGACUCUGACUCACGCUCCACUCUCCCGAGUUUGUCGCCGAUGCAUGUGGCAACGUUUUCGGCCUAUCUUUCAGCUCCCACUCCUCGGCUAAGAUCCGUGUGCCGUGUGAUGAAGUCUCUGGGAGAUGUUCACCGGUCUCAUGUCUUUGUAAAUAAAGCGCACCAGUUUGUCUGUGACAGCAUUCUGACCAGCAGCUGUGAACCCCGCGAUGUGGAGGGAGGUAAAAACGCGUUAUUCUUGCCUGCUCGGUGAUCUCCGUGGGUGCUUUGUCUGAAUGAACGUGAGAUUGUUGUGAUUCAGAAAACUUUAUUGUUCCGUGACGGUCGUACGUGACCAAAGCAUUCUGUUUUUCACACGAGGUAUUAGAAAGAGGGCGGGGCUUCCAUCGCCACGCUUUAACACGUGUAUAAAAAAUAUAAUUACAGCAUUCGAUUAUCAUUGAUUUUUUUAUUAUUUGAAUAACAUUUGACUCCCACAAUUCAUUCCAACAGCCCUGGUCCCAAGCAGCUUCUUUCUUUCUUAGUUAUUGUAACUGUAACAUUAAAAACACAUACGUUUUAACAACUUUGAAUAUUUCAAAUGUGAAAAACUGCUUUAAAAUAUGGUGCAGUCUCCAUGCAUCAGUGAGAUUAAGCAUAUUUUGGUCGACUCAAUACAUACAACCUCAUAUCAUAACUGUUUUCUGUUUUUUUUUAAAGUGGAUUUGUGUUUCUCUUCCUGAGUCAUGCUCAGGAUUGUUCUGUAAUUAACAGGAGGGCUCUUAGUCUUAAUACUGAGAUUAAAACAGCUUCAGAUUGUGUGUCCCCUCCUUAGUGGAGCACUCACAUUGUGACGGAUGGAUUAUUGCAGGACUGUGAGUGAACUAUGGUGAAUAUUAUAAUAGCAAUAACGCUGAAACCAUUUUCCAUCACCACUGUGACGCUGACCAACGGACAUACAAUAAAAUACAAGCAUGUGCCCACAGCAGGUGCACAUAUGGGGAACAACAACAUGUGUACAGUGUCUGUCCGUCAAUAUGUCCCAUACACUGUUAUGUGUUCAACUCACUGACUCUGGAAGUACAUACAUGUCUGUGUUGCUGAUAACCCCAAACAGUAAUAAAGUCUGGUCAAAAAUAAAAG